UGACUUGUGGGCCCGCACGGAUAGGUACCCGGCGGC
This 36-nucleotide small RNA is filed under the name Bombyx mori (domestic silkworm). RNAcentral's name for it is "ovarian small RNA-32074". Lineage: Eukaryota; Metazoa; Arthropoda; Insecta; Lepidoptera; Bombycidae. The record is from RNAcentral.